Molecule: ribosomal RNA, 329 nt
Filed under: uncultured microorganism
Description: bacterial SSU rRNA
Rfam family: Bacterial small subunit ribosomal RNA
Source: RNAcentral
GAGUUUGAUCGUGGCUCAGAUUGAACGCUGGCGGCAUGCCUUACACAUGCAAGUCGAACGGCAGCAUGAUCUAGCUUGCUAGAUUGAUGGCGGAGUGGCGAACGGGUGAGUAAUACAUCGGAACGUGCCCUGUAGUGGGGGAUAACUAGUCGAAAGAUUAGCUAAUACCGCAUACGACCUGAGGGUGAAAGUGGGGGACCGCAAGGCCUCAUGCUAUAGGAGCGGCCGAUGUCUGAUUAGCUAGUUGGUGGGUAAAGGCCCGACCAAGGCGACGAUCAGUAGCUGGUCUGAGAGGACGAUCAGCCACACUGGGACUGAGACACGGCCCA